RNAcentral lists this ribosomal RNA (497 nucleotides) under uncultured bacterium. Its description in RNAcentral is "partial 16S ribosomal RNA". It matches the Rfam family "Bacterial small subunit ribosomal RNA", at positions 28 to 507 of the family's 1533-position model. The record is from RNAcentral.
GAUGAACGCUGGCGGCGUGCCUAAUACAUGCCAGUCGAGCGAACAGAUGAGGAGCUUGCUCCUCUGACGUUAGCGGCGGACGGGUGAGUAACACGUGGAUAACCUACCUAUAAGACUGGGAUAACUUCGGGAAACCGGAGCUAAUACCGGAUAAUAUAUUGAACCGCAUGGUUCAAUAGUGAAAGACGGUUUUGCUGUCACUUAUAGAUGGAUCCGCGCCGCAUUAGCUAGUUGGUAAGGUAACGGCUUACCAAGGCAACGAUGCGUAGCCGACCUGAGAGGGUGAUCGGCCACACUGGAACUGAGACACGGUCCAGACUCCUACGGGAGGCAGCAGUAGGGAAUCUUCCGCAAUGGGCGAAAGCCUGACGGAGCAACGCCGCGUGAGUGAUGAAGGUCUCCGGAUCGUAAAACUCUGUUAUUAGGGAAGAACAAAUGUGUAAGUAACUAUGCACGUCUUGACGGUACCUAAUCAGAAAGCCACGGCUAACUACGUG